Molecule: long non-coding RNA, 425 nt
Filed under: Manihot esculenta (cassava)
Lineage: Eukaryota; Viridiplantae; Streptophyta; Magnoliopsida; Malpighiales; Euphorbiaceae
Description: long non-coding RNA (MESC_LNC009217)
Source: RNAcentral
GGGCAGCCUCUACACUAAUUAGGAAGCAAGGUCAGCAUCUAAACUUAUUUAGGAAGCAUAAUCUGCGCCUCCUUCCCUUUCUGAGACCAAACCGCGCGCACCAACUUCCUUCCGCAGUGCAUUUUCGCGCAGCCUUCCUUCUGAAGCCGAAAAGCGUGAUUCUUUCCUUUUCAGACACAUCUUGGGCAGAAAAUACCUCUUGGGCAGUAAGUAUGACCUAGGGCAACACUUUUCAACUAUAAAAAGCCACAUAAGAAGCCUCUACAUGGUCUUUAAGCUCCCCUUGGGAGACACCUACGAAAUUCACAUCUCUUCUUCUACCUUUCUUCUUUUCUUUUAUUUUUGGUUUGGUUUCAGCCAUGAGAGGCUGAAAUCUUUUAUUCUAGUUGAAGAUUAGGUGAUACUUUGGUUGUUUUAUAGAUUGG